Columba livia (rock pigeon) is the source of this 1229-nucleotide long non-coding RNA. RefSeq lists it as uncharacterized. The record is from RefSeq and is a predicted model, not a curated record. The transcript is spliced from 2 exons. Lineage: Eukaryota; Metazoa; Chordata; Aves; Columbiformes; Columbidae.
AGUCAAUCUUCCACUUGAGACAUAGUAAACUUGCAAGAGAAUAAUCUGCAAACCCAAGCUUGUGACUGUUGAAAUGGGGGGAAGCACUGUAGGUUGACUUAUGCUGUAAAAUACACUUUCCUCAAUUUGUUUUAUCUUUUCUUGAUUGCAGGGUGAUAACUUCUAGAAGAUACUGCUGAAAUAAUGCUGGAUCAUCUGUGCUGAUGGCAGACGUGAGUGGUGCCUCUACCAAUACGUAAGUUCUGGUGACUAGAAGGCAGCAGUGAAGCAGUGGAUAUGCAUUGCAAAAUCAAAGGAUAACAAAGUGCAACUGUUAAAGCUUGGCUUUUGAGUGGGCUGUUAACGCAGUAUUUGUUUUAGAGGCUUGUGUUAUCAUUCAGGAAUUGCCUUUGAAAGUAGCGCUGCUAAUCUCUUGGAUAUGAAAAGAACUCUCAGGUGGAAGUCAGUUGCUGUUUGCCACAGCUAAUACCUUCCAAGAGUCCAGAGCAGCCCUUUUACAAGUCAGUAUACAUGCAUCAGUAGAUUGUGCAGCAAAUACUCCAGGUUGCCCUUUACAUGGGGUACUUUCUCUUAAUGCUGAAAAAAAAAGCAAGUUAUAUAAAAGUGAGUUUUAAUCCUCUAAAAUACAGAGGACUAAAUUGUUACAAAUUCUUCUUCACCAAGAAACUAUGAAAAGUUUUACUGUAUUCUUGCAUUAACAGCUUUAUAAUUGUCCAGGCCUUCUGGAUGAGAGGAAGUGUUGAGAUACUGAGAUGAUACUAGUGAUAAAUCCCCAGAGUAAUCAGUGGUGUUGUAUGUACUGGGUUCUUGGAAAACUCCAGACAGUGUUGCAUCUCUUGGUUUUGAUGCAUUUUUAUCUUACAUAAAUAUUGAUGCACCAAUGUAUGAGAGAGGAAUCCUCAGGCACCAGUAUUUAAUACAGAAAAUAAAACUUCAGACUGAAUGAAAUACCUGAACAGUCGUGGCUGAUAAAGUUUAUAUUGACUUCUUCCAUGGUAGGCAAACUGAUCUCAUUUAAACAACUAGCACUGCUUUAUGAUGAGUAGCUGAAGAAGAAAAAGCUGCAUACCUAAUCUAGGGAUUUAAAACUGCCUUUGGGGUUCAGGAUAACAAUACCACUUUAAACUUCAGUUACGGACUGCAGAUUCUAGGAGUAAAUCUGCCUGUAUGUAGUACAUGGGUAGAAUUGCAGUAUUGCGCAGGGCUAAUAAACUUACUGUUGAACAAAA